RNAcentral lists this ribosomal RNA (446 nucleotides) under uncultured bacterium. RNAcentral's name for it is "bacterial SSU rRNA". It matches the Rfam family "Bacterial small subunit ribosomal RNA", at positions 330 to 793 of the family's 1533-position model. The record is from RNAcentral.
GCCAGACUCCUACGGGAGGCAGCAGUGGGGAAUAUUGCACAAUGGGCGAAAGCCUGAUGCAGCAACGCCGCGUGAGCGAUGAAGGCCUUCGGGUCGUAAAGCUCUGUCCUCAAGGAAGAUAAUGACGGUACUUGAGGAGGAAGCCCCGGCUAACUAUGUGCCAGCAGCCGCGGUAAUACAUAGGGGGCAAGCGUUAUCCGGAAUUAUUGGGUGUAAAGGGUGCGUAGACGGAAGAACAAGUUGGUUGUGAAAUCCCUCGGCUCAACUGAGGAACUGCAACCAAAACUAUUCUCCUUGAGUGUCGGAGAGGAAAGUGGAAUUCCUAGUGUAGCGGUGAAAUGCGUAGAUAUUAGGAGGAACACCAGUGGCGAAGGCGACUUUCUGGACGAUAACUGACGUUGAGGCACGAAAGUGUGGGGAGCAAACAGGAUUAGAUACCCUGGUAA